UGAGCCACAGCAGUGACAAUGUUGAAUCCUUAACCACUAGGCCAUCAGGGAACUCCCUAGAUGAUUAGCAGAAUUUUGUUGGGUCUAGAGCCUACAGCGUAUACAUUCUGGUUUCAACACUUUUUUCCUCAAAAAUCAUAAAUCUGAUGACCUGUUUUGGUGCUUCCCGCUUUCACACUAGUGGAGGGAAUAUGUGACCAAGAUACAAUGGCCACUCAUAGUUAGUGCACUCAUAAUUAGCGCAUAAUUAGUAUCCCUUAUAUCUAUGAGCAUAAUUUAAUAUUUACAUUACUACUUACCCUCUAGGUAAACUAUUAUUCUGCUGUGAGAAUAAUUUUAUUUUGGAUGAGAUGAAUACACCAAGGGUUAACUGUAUCUGAUAGAAUAAGAAGCACAUUUCUGGGGCACCUAUGAUAUGCUAGGUACUUUUAUGUGUUUGGAAUAAACUAUUCACUUACACUAAUUUUUCAAAAACCAUGUCCAAUCACACUGUAGUGAGAAAUGUCAGCUUGAAUAAUGAAGACAAUAUUGUAGAUGCAGGAAGAUCACUCAGUGAACACAGGGAAGCAGGGUUUGUAUCAAUUAUGGCCCAAGAGACGGUCUGCCAUCUAGUGCGCUUUUGCUGGAGAAGCAUUUGUACCCUAGAGUGUGCUAUCAGCACCUUCUAGUUUGUAAAGGAAACUGGCCUGUGCACACCCCUAUGGGAUAUGGUUCAUCUAUAGGAAUGUAAGUGUCAAAGAUGCUGCAAAAUCCAGGCCUUCAACAGAGCCCGCUUGUUUACCUUAGCACAGAUGUUUACCCCUACUUUAGUUAACAUCCUCUCUAGUAACAGAUGAAAGAAAUAAUUACAACACACACUGUGUUUAUUUUAUAGAAAGAGGAUUAACAUACAAAUUUACCUUCUCCUUUGAAAAUUUCUUUUAAGCAGAUAGAUCUCUGCAGGCACUUAGGAGAUAGAAACUGUAUCUACAUAUAAAAGGGGAAUGAGGGAAUUAAGACUGUUAUCAGGAAAGUGCAACCCCACACUCCCCUCUCUUUAAACGACUGCUAUUGAAAGUUCAGUGAGGAAAAUCUAGAUAGCCUCCAUAUGCUGCGGGAGCGGCCCUAGAAAAGGCAAAAAGACAAAAAAAAAAAAAAAAAAAAAAAAAAAUUCCUCUCCUACAAAUCUAUAUUAGCAUAUGAAUGGACUCAAGACCAAUGUGAUAGGUUGAGAGUCUCUAAAGUUUAGAUUCUAAGUAGUCCAUAUCAGCAAAAUAUUUAUAAUUUCUAAUUAUAGUUUUGCAUUGCAGAUAGUAUCAUUUAUACAGCUUUAGACCUAAUCUUUGCCCAUCUCAAUUUUUCUAUUAGUUCAAAUACAAAUAAAAUUUUAUGAAAUGUACCUUGGUUUUAUACAAUCAAAUAGUUCUUUCCAAUCUCUCCUUUAUUGAUAAAUCUUUUAUAUCUUCUGACUUAUAUUUAUCUAUGUAUUAAUCAUAUCACCUUUUUUUUCUUGGGUUACUAGUUUUUGUAAAGAAAAUCCAUAUAAAAAUUAAGAAAGCUGGGUUGUAUUUCCAAGUAUAACUCAUUUAAUUUAGCACUUCUGAAGUCUUCUAUUUGUUUUAUUAUAAGAUGAUGUGAUUUUAUGGAGACUCUGAUAACCAACAUUUCUUAAUCAACACAAUUACAUUAAUUAGAAUUAAAUUAUAAUGAAAUUACAAUUCUUGAUACUUUUAAGUGACUUAUUAUUGAUAACUAAAAUUCCUUACUUGUGUAAAUUUCUCUGAUUCAGGUGUUUCAAAGGUAUUUAAUUUCUUUGAUGAAAAGCAGUCAAAAAUUCACUUAUUUUUCUUUUUAUCUGGAGGAAUUUGUGAGAUAUCUAUUAUAAAGUCAGUCCAUGACUUAGUAAAUUUUCUUCAGAAUUUCUUUUUAAACAUGUGGAUUUUUUUUCUCAUCUUUUGCUACUAAGUGGAACAUUGGUUAGUCCUCAGUUGGGUAAAUGCAUUUAUUAUGGUAACUGCCUCUUUAAUCUAUUGAUUUUUUCUUUAGUAUGAUAUAUCCCAAAUUACUCCAGAUUUUUUUGUUUUGUUUUGGUGUGUUUUGCUUUUUUUUAUAUUUUUUGUUUGUUUUUUUAGGACCAACCCAUGGCAUAUGGAGGUUCUCAGGAUAAAGGUCGAAUCAGAGCUAUAGCCGCCAGCCUAUCCACAGCCACAGCAACACUAGAUCCAAGGCACAUCUGCAAACUACACCACAGUUCAUGGCAAUGCCAGAUCCUUAACCCACUGAGUGAGGCCAGGGAUCAAACCUGCCUCCUCAUGGAUACUAGUCAGAUUCAUUUCUGCUGAGCCACGAUGGGAACACCACAAAUAAUUCCGGAUUGAUUCAGGGAUGUAAAUUACUACAUAGAAGCAAAAUAUUAUGUUAAAAUAGUUGUGAUUUACUCCAUGGAUAUGUAUCGUAUACUAAUGAUAAUAUCUGCUUCUGAUAUUUUAAACUCAAAAUGGAGAAAUUCAUUCAAGAAGUAUUGGUAGUAUAAUAUGUUUUGAAUUCCUGAAUUCCUGAUAGUAGGCAAUGUUUUAAGUACUUUAAACAUUUUUGCUUAUGAAAUACAACUUUUAUAAGAUAUAAGGGUAUCUUUAGCUAUGUUUUAUCAGUAAAGAAAUUAAGACAGAUAAAUUUUAAUAACAAAACCUGGUAGUCUAUAAACCUGAAUAUUAGUGAGUUUGAACUUAGGGAGCAAAAGACAAAUGCCUCUCUGAAUUCCAUGUCUCAAGAUUUAGUACAUAGAUUAUACCUCCUCAAGAAUGAAGUAAUGAGGAGUUUCUGCUGUGAGGCAGCAGAAACAAAUCCAACUAAUAUCCAUGAGAAUGCGCGUUCAGUCUCUGUCCUUGCUCAGUGGGUUGGGGAUCUGGUGUUGCUGGGAGCUGUGGUGUAGGCCACAGACAUGGCUCUGAUCCUGCAUUCUGUGGCUGUGGCAUAGACUGGCAGCUAUAGCUCCAAUUAGACCCCUAGCCUGGGAACCUCCAUAUACCAUCAGUGAGGC
Molecule: long non-coding RNA, 3019 nt
Filed under: Sus scrofa (pig)
Lineage: Eukaryota; Metazoa; Chordata; Mammalia; Artiodactyla; Suidae
Description: lncRNA (ENSSSCG00035037288.1)
Source: RNAcentral